UGAUUUUUCAGCAAGAAUUCCAUCAAGUAACUACCAUUUUAAACUAAUGAAAUCUUCUUUGAUUGAAACAUAGGCAGUUGUUCAGGAGGAAUUCUCCAUGAGGGAAAAGCAAGCAGUAAUCAGGUCUGACCGCAAGUGUGGUAUGGUUAAAAUACAAGAUAAUAAGGAAUAACAUAGAGAAUUGUAAGUUAGUCUCAAAGUUUGCCUGUUUUGGACAAAAUUCAAGUAGAAGUUGGGAGCCAGCCCAUAUAACAGGGGAAUACAUUUCACUUUUUAAAUUUUAAAUUUUGAAACAUUUCAGUCUUUACAUUUUCAAGUUUUGAAGUUGGGAGCCCCACAUAUAUCACAUGA
Molecule: long non-coding RNA, 351 nt
Filed under: Nicotiana benthamiana
Lineage: Eukaryota; Viridiplantae; Streptophyta; Magnoliopsida; Solanales; Solanaceae
Description: long non-coding RNA (NBEN_LNC024746)
Source: RNAcentral